Molecule: ribosomal RNA, 447 nt
Filed under: uncultured bacterium
Lineage: Bacteria
Description: bacterial SSU rRNA
Rfam family: Bacterial small subunit ribosomal RNA
Source: RNAcentral
UGGGGAAUUUUGGACAAUGGGCGCAAGCCUGAUCCAGCCAUGCCGCGUGAGUGAUGAAGGCCCUAGGGUUGUAAAGCUCUUUUACCAGGGAUGAUAAUGACAGUACCUGGAGAAUAAGCUCCGGCUAACUCCGUGCCAGCAGCCGCGGUAAUACGGAGGGAGCUAGCGUUGUUCGGAAUUACUGGGCGUAAAGCGUACGUAGGCGGUUAUUCAAGUCAGAGGUGAAAGCCCGGGGCUCAACCCCGGAACGGCCUUUGAAACUAGGUAGCUAGAAUCUUGGAGAGGUCAGUGGAAUUCCGAGUGUAGAGGUGAAAUUCGUAGAUAUUCGGAAGAACACCAGUGGCGAAGGCGACUGACUGGACAAGUAUUGACGCUGAGGUACGAAAGCGUGGGGAGCAAACAGGAUUAGAUACCCCCGUAGUCCCUGAGCGGGCUGGCAAGGCGCAU